UUCCUCCCUUUUCCCCUGCACCCAGCAUCCAGCCCAGAGAGGGGGCUGCUUAUCAGGGGAAGUGCUGAGAUAAAUCCCCAAUAAUCUCUGCUUGCUGUGUGUAAAGGGCAGUGGCUCUGCAUGUUAUUUUCUCACCUCUUUGGUGAGCUGAUGGAAAAUCAAGUCAUAUUCCUCUUCCAGUCCCUGCUCUGACAGAGGCCAAGCUGCUGUGUUUGGGUGUGGGAUGCUGUGGGAAGAUGUACUGGUGUAAUUACCUACAACAUACCAGCAAUCCACCUGCCUGGGGAACUGCAGAAAUUGCAGCUUUCCUCAAUAAAAACUACCCUUUGAUGGCACCUGGGCUGCCCAGAUCCUCCCUAGUGCUAGUGGAAAGAGGAUUGCUAACAUCUAACCUGUCCCUUCCUCUCCUUCUCACGCCGGAUGCAGGGAACAGCUUUCUCUCCCACUUUGCAGCCAUCACCAGCUGCAUUUGCAGACUCACUUUUGCCCUUGACACUCUCUUCUCUGGGUUAAGCAACUCAAAUUCAUUCAACCUUUUGUAUUCCCCAGAUCUUCUGGACUGACUUCAUUGAAUUCAUUAGUGGGUUCUUAGGCCAGGAGGAGGGAAGACCCUGCCUGAGCCCCAGGCCCAUCGCUGGAGGGAAAGCUGAGACCUGCGGUGGAUUUUAAUGGGAGUGGAUGGGGCAGAGCUCCUGAAAUACCUUGUCAUCACCACCCAGAAACGUUGAGCCUCCAGGGCUGAAGGGACAAGGAAGCGAGCAGAAAUACCUGGGGGAUGCUCACCUCCAUAAAUAGACUCUGAAAA
Taeniopygia guttata (zebra finch) is the source of this 805-nucleotide long non-coding RNA. RefSeq lists it as uncharacterized. NCBI's taxonomy places the organism in Eukaryota, Metazoa, Chordata, Aves, Passeriformes, Estrildidae. The record is from RefSeq and is a predicted model, not a curated record.